Molecule: long non-coding RNA, 1229 nt
Filed under: Fukomys damarensis (Damara mole-rat)
Lineage: Eukaryota; Metazoa; Chordata; Mammalia; Rodentia; Bathyergidae
Description: lncRNA (ENSFDAG00000027467.1)
Source: RNAcentral
CCGUUACAAAGUGUACUUCUGAACCAGGCCUGGCUGAAGUUGUUUGUCAGAACGAAGCUGGCUCGUCCCCACUGUAGGAAAGCUGAUUUUCAUGGUCUUCUGGGAUGUACAGUGAACUGCACCUAUUUAUAUGCACUCUUCGGGGCUGGGGUGCCGCUCGUGCCAGGGUACAAGCUUCCCCAGCAUGGGGGCCCCGCUUCCAUCGCUGCUCCCAACCCGAAAGGAACCAGAAAAGCUGGCAGGACAGCAGGGUGCUGUGCGCCCCGCUGCUGCAGGACCCCCCUGUGAGCCCAGCAGAACCCCAGAAGCAGCAGCCAAGCCUCUGCGCCUGCAGCCCCACCCAGGUGCUGCCCGCCCUUCCCUGGGGCCUCUCCUCUCCUCAAGCACUGAGCCCCCCCACGGGGGUACCGGUCGGCCCCUGCUCAGAUCCAUCCCUGAAAAGAUUUCACUCUGCUCCAAAUGCUGACCUUCCAUAUCAGAGCAUGGAACCCUUGAAGCCAGUACUGCCGCUCCCUGAGCAUCUUGGACCCGCCGGGCCACAGUGGACCCGGGGAACCAGCCGAGUAGGUGCUGCCAAAUAGAUGAACAAGUCAAUCAGCAGAGCUGUUCGCUUUCAGAUCCAGUGUUCGGGAUCGUACAUUCCUCCUUGCCCUGAUUUCAGUCUGAUGCGCGGCGUGCCUUUUGCGGGUCUCAUGCCGUGAACUGUUUGCUCAGUGGACUAUUAAAACAGCGGAGCACCUGUGCCCCUCGGCCUCUGCAUCGGUGCCCUCGCCGCGCUUCUCACCCUCUGCUGUAGGCGGGUUACUCCUGUCUCUUCUGCAGCUCUCCCUCCGCCUGCCUCUCCCCUCCUUUAUUCUCAAUCUACUUCCCGCUGACACUUCCUUUUGAUUCUUUGAUGCUUUAUAGAUCCUUUGUCCCUGUUCUCAUGCUCAACUUCCGUCUGCGUUAUGUGCUUCAAUUUCAAAUCACUGGGAACAGAAGCUGAAUAUCACCGAUUGCAUCCUUAAGUCACAAAGCAGAGGGGGGAAAAGCAGAAAUCAUCUUUCUGCCUGAGUGAGACCUUCCCCGUGCCAUUAGCCAGUGGGGCUGUGGUAGAUACCAGCUGGGGUGAAAGUUGGACGUGAUCCUUGUAAUGAGAGAACUUCUGAUGCAAAUGAAAAGCAUAUGCUUUGGAAAGAUGGCCUGGGAAAAUAUAGCAAGAUACCCAAGGGGAGGAAAAUCAAACUGAA